AUUUUGUCCUUGUAAAAUGAACUAGGAAGCGUUUUCUUUUUUUCUAGUUCCUAGACUAUAAGAAAAAUUGGGAGGAAGGUGUCUAAAAAGCUGUCCACAGUAGUCACAGAUGGGAGCAAUGAAAACAACUGGUAAGCUGACAGAAGAAAAUGCAAGGAGAUUGAUUUUCCAGAGAGGAUAAACACAAAAUAAAUGAUUCUGAGAUCUAAGCUGGAAGAAAAUAUGUAAAACCAAGGGCAGGACUACCAGGCAAGCAGACUAAAAGAAGAACUCAGAAACUCUCUUAUCAGUUAUAUUUACUAUUUGCCUUUACUUAUAGGUUACACUCAGUUCUUUACAACACUUGAACCUGAACCUCCAUCAGUCCCAUAGACCCCAGAUGAGCAAGGCAUAUUUUGGGAUCUGAGAGUCUCAGCUGUCUCCAGCCAAAAAGAAGAUGUAUAUCUGCAGCUUGAAAUUAUGAGUCUAUUUGAAAACAUCUAACAGUAAUGAGACCGAUUACCAGAGGGG
Molecule: long non-coding RNA, 510 nt
Organism: Heterocephalus glaber (naked mole-rat)
Lineage: Eukaryota; Metazoa; Chordata; Mammalia; Rodentia; Bathyergidae
Source: Ensembl